GAUCCACCGGACACACUGCUAUCAGAGUGGUGCUAAGCCAUGCGAGUCAAUGCAGCAAUACGUGCCAUACGAUCAGUACCUCAUAGUGGACGUGCCCAAGAGACGUGGAUAGCCUCGUGAAUCUGAGGAUAAUCCGCGAUAGGCCAUGACCUCUGGAAAACAUCAUGGAUCAGACAUAUAUGUCUCUAGGAUCGGCAUGCGGCCGAUCAGGCUAUUGGUGAUGUAAUGCCCCGCGAAACCGAUAGCCGAUACCGGUUUUGAGCGAGGGAGCCCGGUGAUGAGCAUUGAGACAAGGUCCCUGGCCCUAUGGGGCGCAGCAGGCGCGAAACCUCUGCAAUAGGCGAAAGCUUGACAGGGUUACUUUGAGUGAUGUCCGUUAAGGGCAUCUUUGAUCACCUCUGAAAAUGGUGCUGAAUAAGGGCUGGCCAAGUGUGGUGUCACCUGCCGCGGUAUUACAUCCACCACGACUGGUAAGGAGGAUUACUGGCCCUAAAGCAUCCGUAGCUUGUUCUGCAAGUCCUCCGUUAAAUCCAUCUGCUCAACAGAUGGGCUGCGGGGGAUACUACAGGGUUAGGAGGCGGGAGAGGCAAACGGUACUCAGUGGGUAGGGGUAAAAUCCUCUGAUCCACUGAAGACCACCAGUAGCGAAGGAGGUUUGCCAGAACGCGCUAGUCGGUGAGGGACGGAAGCUGGGGGAGCAAACCGGAUUAGAUGGCCGGGUAGUCCCAGUUGUAAAGGAUGCAGAAUCGAUCAUGGGUUGGCCUUGAGCCAACCCAGUGCCGCAGGGAAGCCGUUAAGUUUGCCGCAUGGGGAGUUCGGUCGCAAGACGGAAAAUAAAAGGAAUCGGCGGGGGAGCUCCACAAGGGGUGAAGCCUGCGGUUCAAUGGAGUCAACGCCGGA
This 900-nucleotide ribosomal RNA is filed under the name uncultured archaeon. RNAcentral describes it as "bacterial SSU rRNA". It matches the Rfam family "Archaeal small subunit ribosomal RNA", at positions 10 to 922 of the family's 1478-position model. The record is from RNAcentral.